GCACAAGCGGUGGAGUAUGUGGUUUAAUUCGAUGCAACGCGAAGAACCUUAUCUGGUCUUGACAUCCCGGAGACCCUUAGGAAACUAGGGGGUGCUUCCAUCUGGAAGAAUCUGGAGACAGGUGCUGCAUGGCUGUCGUCAGCUCGUGUCGUGAGAUGUUGGGUUAAGUCCCGCAACGAGCGCAACCCUUGCCUUUAGUUGCCAGCAGUUCGGCUGGGCACUCUAAAGGGACUGCCGGUGUUAAACCGGAGGAAGGUGGGGAUGACGUCAAGUCCUCAUGGCCUUUAUGACCAGGGCUACACACGUACUACAAUGGCCGAUACAAAGGGCAGCGACACUGCGAGGUGAAGCCAAUCCCGUAAAAUCGGUCUCAGUCCGGAUUGGAGUCUGCAACUCGACUCCAUGAAGUUGGAAUCGCUAGUAAUCGUGGAUCAGCAUGCCACGGUGAAUACGUUCCCGGGCCUU
This 465-nucleotide ribosomal RNA is filed under the name uncultured Desulfobulbus sp. RNAcentral's name for it is "bacterial SSU rRNA". It matches the Rfam family "Bacterial small subunit ribosomal RNA", at positions 923 to 1382 of the family's 1533-position model. Lineage: Bacteria; Pseudomonadati; Thermodesulfobacteriota; Desulfobulbia; Desulfobulbales; Desulfobulbaceae. The record is from RNAcentral.